This 477-nucleotide long non-coding RNA is filed under the name Homo sapiens (human). RNAcentral's name for it is "HSALNT0354114". Lineage: Eukaryota; Metazoa; Chordata; Mammalia; Primates; Hominidae. The record is from RNAcentral.
CUCAGAUACAGGGGCUACUAAGUGGUCUCUCAUAAAGUCUGGAAAUAGGAUGAAGACCAGAGUUUGACAUGAUAUGUCAUGAAAGUUCUAGAUGCAAAGGAAACACAGCAGCAUUAACAUCUUUCCUGGGGUCCUUCUACAGCUGAUGAUGAUCUAUGGCAAUUGGAAAUGCACAUAGCUCACAGCAGGUGUCUCAACAAUGUCUGGCAUUUCCAAGGUGCUUCUACAUGGAAUUUCAAAAGACAAAAUGUUGCAGCUACAGCAAGAAGUAUAAGGAAGCAGGGGAACGGCCUGGUGGGCCUGGUAGGGCUCUGUGCACCUGAUGCAUAAUGUCUAAACAUAAAAUAGACCAUUCCUGGAAGCCAGAGAGUCUGGAAACAAAAGUUUGGAAUUACAGGGAAGCCUUAGAAGGCAAGAUUAUAUGAAAAAAAAAAAAAAAGAAGAAGAAAGAAAAUGAAAAAAAAAAAAAGAAAAUAC